UACGGAGGGUGCGAGCGUUAAUCGGAAUCACUGGGCGUAAAGCGCACGUAGGCUGUUUGGUAAGUCAGGGGUGAAAUCCCGCGGCUCAACCGCGGAAUUGCCCUUGAUACUGCUGGACUUGAGUUCGGGAGAGGGUGGCGGAAUUCCAGGUGUAGGAGUGAAAUCCGUAGAUAUCUGGAGGAACAUCAGUGGCGAAGGCGGCCACCUGGACCGAUACUGACGCUGAGGUGCGAAAGCGUGGGGAGCAAAC
RNAcentral lists this ribosomal RNA (250 nucleotides) under uncultured bacterium. RNAcentral describes it as "partial 16S ribosomal RNA". It matches the Rfam family "Bacterial small subunit ribosomal RNA", at positions 524 to 773 of the family's 1533-position model. RNAcentral also lists the same sequence under 1 other name. The record is from RNAcentral.